CGAAUACGGACGAGCUCCGUCCCCACGGAGGAUACAGCUCCGGCGUCGCUCUGUCGCCAUACGGGCGGGGGAGCGUCGCCCAAAAGCAGCGGCAGCCUGAGUUCGAGAGUAAGCGGGGCCCACGUCGGACCGCAGGUGGUGAUGCUGGUCACUAAUGACACCGCAUUGGCCAGGCACAGCGAGCCUCAGCACUUUGGUUAACCCAAAUAUUCCAGCUGCUGUGACCAAUCCUGCCUCUUGAAAUGAACAGGCAAAACCGAUUACGCUGAAUAAGUGAUAAAGAAAAAAGUCCUUAUCUAAGUGAAAAUGGGAUGCCACUUUACCUUAGUGAAACUUACUCUUCUAUAGAAAAAAAAUGAGUCUGAAACGUAAGAGAGCUUACGGCAAUCAAACUAUGAACACAUGGCCAGCAGCCCAAAGGUUUGCCAUCAAAUGAGUGAGAUCAAAUUUAGGACAUCAUUGGAAAGCAGGUCUUAGUCAAGACCCAGGGAAAGGACCCAAGCAAAGCAGCUACCAAUUAUCUACCAACUGUGGGAUGGAGGAAUAAAUUAGAGAAGUUUUAUAUUUCUAUCUGAAAACAAAUUGACAGUAAGGAACAGCACGCUUAGCAGAGCCAUAUUCUUCCUCAUUUUCAUGGAGACGCUUUCUCGUUGUGGUUCGCUGGAAGACAAACACAGGAGGAUGGCUCCAGGAAACCAGCAUGCAGCCAAACUAAUCUUGUGCCAUUCAAAAGACCUCAGUGGAGAUUUCAGAGGAAGAAACAGCAAUUAAUUGUUUAUAUGCCUUUAAGAAAUGUUUUAUUAAGUAAAUUAGUAAGUAUUAAGUACAGGUAAGACACUUGCACUGAGCAGUAUUUAGGUUUACACAGCUCAACAAGUUUUCAAGUUGUAGAUUUAAGAAAAGAAUGGAGUAAACAACUUGUUUUGAAAACACUAAUUUGAAAGCACUACUAGUUUAAAUAAAUCUGCAGAACAUGCUUACUUCUAGUAUCUGAAAUAUUCCCUAGUGUCCCCAAAAUCAUCAGAGGGCUAACUGGCAUCAGCUGGUCACAGAGAGAAUGUGUUUUUCACUGUUGACUUGUGAAGACGAUACUUCCAGACAACACAAGAGGGAGAGAGGAGCCAGUAACUCCUCAUUACUCACAGAAACAGGACUCAGGAGCUCUUUUGGUGGCAUUCAACAUGUGUGAUACCUAGAACUGAGCAAGCUGGCCUUCCAAGCAGGCAGUCUACCUCAUCUAAAAACACCUGACACUCUUAAUAACAGCCCCUGAAGGAAAACAGUUCAAAGAACAGCAGCUGAAUGCUAGAUUUCAAAAGCUACACAAAUCUGGAUUUAUGGUAUGAUGUUUUCUGGAACCUUCUGUUCUGUCUUCAAAAUUCAACUUAAUAGUAAGAGAUGUCCUUACAUGGAAUAUACAAUCAAGUUAAUAACAACUUGAGUUUAUAUACUGAAAUAUUUUAAAUUCUUAGCUUGUCUAAAUCAGUCAUCUAUUUCCCCUUCCCAUUUAUGCAUACCAGCCAUUUUUAAAAUCAUGGUUGCAUGGUUGCAUGGUUUCUGAAGAACUUUUUCUGCUCAGAUUUAUAAUUUAAAUGUAGGAAUCUAUAUCUGAUUAACUCACUGUAGAUGUUACAUGCAAAACUACAGUAAGUAAAAUCCAUGAAUGCCAGGAAAUGUUUCCUGAUGCCCAGGAGCAUAAUCAAGACAAGUUAAUCACUUUAAAAAGAGUCAUCCACACAUGUUUUUUGUCUCAGAACACCAUCAGCUGUUGAGCACUGAGGGAUACUCCCUUGCUUCCCCCAUUUCUUAUGCUCUUUACCUGUUCCCAGUCCCAGGGGAGGAACAGGAAUAGCAUUGUGCUUGGUGUAAAAAAACAGAACCUGUUGCAUGGCUCAGAUGUAGGCUGGGUAACAUUCUUCAGCCUCUUCAAGCAAAAAUAUUCAAGAGAGCUCAUAGGUUCAGUGGACACCUCUGCCAAAAGUAAGAAAAGACCACCUAAAGACUAUCCCUCUCAAAUCUAAUUAGACUGUAACAGGAGGCAGGGAAACCAUCACUUCCUACUCAGAGGGUUCCCAAACCAGGGACACUUAUUCCUACACAGCAGAGUAAAAACAAAGUAGUAUUGGAUGCUUGCCAGAAACAAACUCUGCACUGCCUGCCCACACAAACAUCUGAGGAAAUGGGGCUCUGUUACAAUGCCUGAAAGGAGAGGUCCAUCCUACCAGAACCACAGUCAGGCUUAGGCUCUAAAAAACACAUCUUGAUCCUCACAUGUGAAAGGGUUUUGGGAAGAGGUGUCUCAGAAAGGAUGCAGAAGCUGCUUAUUGUACUGAAAGAAGGUAUUCAGGAGACUACUCCAUGCUGCUUUUGCAGUCUCUCUACAGGGGCUAAAUCUUUGAAAACACAAGACAUCAAUAAGUUACCCCCCUGAACAACUCAGCUUUCAGUUAAAAUUCAA
Molecule: long non-coding RNA, 2458 nt
Organism: Cyanistes caeruleus (blue tit)
Lineage: Eukaryota; Metazoa; Chordata; Aves; Passeriformes; Paridae
Source: RefSeq, a predicted model, not a curated record